GCCUCUGUAGAUCAUGGCGAUUGCCUCAAAUUGAUGGGAGAUAUGUGUUGGAGAAAUUUAUCGGGGAGUUGGAGGUUCGAUUCCUCCCAGGGGCG
Molecule: non-coding RNA, 95 nt
Organism: Mycena polygramma
Lineage: Eukaryota; Fungi; Basidiomycota; Agaricomycetes; Agaricales; Mycenaceae
Source: the annotation of a GenBank genome assembly